RNAcentral lists this long non-coding RNA (623 nucleotides) under Ananas comosus (pineapple). RNAcentral's name for it is "long non-coding RNA (ACOM_LNC030780)". The record is from RNAcentral. Lineage: Eukaryota; Viridiplantae; Streptophyta; Magnoliopsida; Poales; Bromeliaceae.
UAGUAAAGUAAUUAAUUAAUUUAUUAUUUAUCAUUAAUUAACUAAUUAAAAAUUAAUAUUUUAAUUAAUAUAUUUAAUAACCAAUAUUUAUGUUGAUGAACCAUUAAUAUUUUGAUUAAUCUAUUUAAUUUUUAACUAAUUAUCUAACUAAAUAAUUUACUAACUAAUUAAAAAGUUAUGUUAUUUCUAUAAUUAACUAAUUAAUUAAUUAAUGUAUUAAUUAACUAAUUAAUUAACUAAUAUUUAUAUUUAUUAAAUUAUUAAAUUAAUAAUUUAUUAUAAUAUUUAUAUCUAAUAAAUAUAUUACUUUAUUGAAUUAUUUUUAAUUAAUAUUUUGAUGUUAAUUAAUUAGAUAAACUAUUUUUAAUUAUAACCCAUAUUUUUCUUGUUCCAAUCUAACAUCCAAAUACCAUUUACCUUAUUUUCAGGAACAAUUCAAUUUUCAUCUAAAUACAUAAUUGGUCUAGUUCCUAUUUAUACCUCAAUUUGUACUUAUCAUUGGAAUAAGCAAUUCUUAUUUGUAUCCCAACCAAACGCAGUCUAAAAGAUUACUGGCUACUUCUAGGAAAACAUUAAAUGCUGAGAAUAGAAAAAAUAUAAAAGCGGUGGUCUUGUGUGUGGAA